UCUGACAAGUAUUUUCGGCUGCGUUCGGGC
RNAcentral lists this non-coding RNA (30 nucleotides) under Rattus norvegicus (Norway rat). The record is from RNAcentral. Lineage: Eukaryota; Metazoa; Chordata; Mammalia; Rodentia; Muridae.